CACCGGCUAACUCCGUGCCAGCAGCCGCGGUAAUACGGAGGGUGCGAGCGUUAAUCGGAAUUACUGGGCGUAAAGCGCAUGCAGGUGGUUUGUUAAGUCAGAUGUGAAAGCCCGGGGCUCAACCUCGGAAUUGCAUUUGAAACUGGCAGACUAGAGUACUGUAGAGGGGGGUAGAAUUUCAGGUGUAGCGGUGAAAUGCGUAGAGAUCUGAAGGAAUACCGGUGGCGAAGGCGGCCCCCUGGACAGAUACUGACACUCAGAUGCGAAAGCGUGGGGAGCAAACAGGAUUAGAUACCCUGGUAGUCCACGCCGUAAACGAUGUCUACUUGGAGGUUGUGGCCUUGAGCCGUGGCUUUCGGAGCUAACGCGUUAAGUAGACCGCCUGGGGAGUACGGUCGCAAGAUUAAAACUCAAAUGAAUUGACGGGGGCCCGCACAAGCGGUGGAGCAUGUGGUUUAAUUCGAUGCAACGCGAAGAACCUUACCUACUCUUGACAUCCAGAGAACUUUCCAGAGAUGGAUUGGUGCCUUCGGGAACUUUGAGACAGGUGCUGCAUGGCUGUCGUCAGCUCGUGUUGUGAAAUGUUGGGUUAAGUCCCGCAACGAGCGCAACCCUUAUCCUUGUUUGCCAGCGAGUAAUGUCGGGAACUCCAGGGAGACUGCCGGUGAUAAACCGGAGGAAGGUGGGGACGACGUCAAGU
Molecule: ribosomal RNA, 700 nt
Filed under: Vibrio vulnificus
Lineage: Bacteria; Pseudomonadati; Pseudomonadota; Gammaproteobacteria; Vibrionales; Vibrionaceae
Description: bacterial SSU rRNA
Rfam family: Bacterial small subunit ribosomal RNA
Source: RNAcentral